Molecule: ribosomal RNA, 271 nt
Filed under: uncultured prokaryote
Description: partial 16S ribosomal RNA
Rfam family: Bacterial small subunit ribosomal RNA
Source: RNAcentral
UACGUAGGUGGCAAGCGUUAUCCGGAAUUAUUGGGCGUAAAGAGCGCGCAGGUGGUUGAUUAAGUCUGAUGUGAAAGCCCACGGCUUAACCGUGGAGGGUCAUUGGAAACUGGUCGACUUGAGUGCAGAAGAGGGAAGUGGAAUUCCAUGUGUAGCGGUGAAAUGCGUAGAUAUCGGGAGGAACACCGGUGGCGAAGGCGGCUUUCUGGCCAGUUACUGACGCUCAUGCGCGAGAGCUGGGUUAGCGAACCGGAUUAGAUACCCCCGUAGU